This 467-nucleotide ribosomal RNA is filed under the name uncultured bacterium. RNAcentral describes it as "partial 16S ribosomal RNA". It matches the Rfam family "Bacterial small subunit ribosomal RNA", at positions 28 to 507 of the family's 1533-position model. The record is from RNAcentral.
GAUGAACGCUGGCGGCGUGCUUAACACAUGCAAGUCGAACGGAAAGGCCCAAGCUUGCUUGGGUACUCGAGUGGCGAACGGGUGAGUAACACGUGGGUGAUCUGCCCUGCACUUCGGGAUAAGCCUGGGAAACUGGGUCUAAUACCGGAUAGGACCACUUCUUGGAUGUUGUGGUGGAAAGUUUUUUCGGUGUGGGAUGAGCUCGCGGCCUAUCAGCUUGUUGGUGGGGUAAUGGCCUACCAAGGCGUCGACGGGUAGCCGGCCGGAGAGGGUGUACGGCCACAUUGGGACUGAGAUACGGCCCAGACUCCUACGGGAGGCAGCAGUGGGGAAUAUUGCACAAUGGGCGCAAGCCUGAUGCAGCGACGCCGCGUGGGGGAUGACGGCCUUCGGGUUGUAAACUCCUUUCGCUAGGGACGAAGCGUUUUGUGACGGUACCCGGAGAAGAAGCACCGGCUAACUACGUG